Molecule: ribosomal RNA, 254 nt
Filed under: uncultured bacterium
Lineage: Bacteria
Description: partial 16S ribosomal RNA
Rfam family: Bacterial small subunit ribosomal RNA
Source: RNAcentral
UACAGAGGGUGCAAGCGUUGUUCGGAAUUAUUGGGCGUAAAGGGCGCGUAGGCGGUGCGGUAAGUCUGUAGUGAAAUCUCUGGGCUCAACUCAGAGUCUGCUGCAGAAACUGCCGUGCUUGAGUGUGGGAGAGGUGAGUGGAAUUCCCGGUGUAGCGGUGAAAUGCGUAGAUAUCAGGAAGAACACCCGUGGCUAAGGCGGCUCUCUAGUACGGUACUGACGCUGAGACGCGAAAGCGUGGGGGAGCGAACAGG